This 31-nucleotide non-coding RNA is filed under the name Mus musculus (house mouse). The record is from RNAcentral. Lineage: Eukaryota; Metazoa; Chordata; Mammalia; Rodentia; Muridae.
CCUAGGUUUUUUAUUAUUCCAGGUGGAUAUG